Molecule: long non-coding RNA, 1397 nt
Organism: Lutra lutra (Eurasian river otter)
Lineage: Eukaryota; Metazoa; Chordata; Mammalia; Carnivora; Mustelidae
Exons: 3
Source: RefSeq, a predicted model, not a curated record
UGCAUCACAGAAAUGCUAGCCUGUUACAGAUGGGUUUUCAUUCUUUUCCUCUGACGCUGCUUCGCGCCAAGACCUCACUCCCUGAAGUUUUAUGAGGGUGUCGUGGGAGGAGCUGGUUUAUUUCUGACUCACAUGGACUGGAAAAGGUGCCUGUGGAAGCCCUGCCAUCCCUGGCCUUGACUUCUGUCUUCCUUGUGCUGAGAACGCAUCAAAACCAUAGCCUAUCUUCAGAAGAGAGGUCACCUGUGCUGGAAGAAAACAGAAGGGCCCGCAGCCCAGCUGUAACUGAACCCAGAGUGACCUCAGCAAUAGAAUUCUGGAGAGAUCAAGUUUAAGUACUUGGAUGGAAGCAAACCUGUAGGAUAAUUGUGCAUGCAGAAGACAGCUUCAGCCUUGUACACCCUGCCCAUACCUGGGGCUCAGUCUUGUUGCCUUGUUUACUUCUCAGAUCUUUGAGCGAUGCAUCCAGAAGCUCUAUGAUAGAUGGCUUCUUUGCAUAUGGACCAUUACCACCAUGUUCAAGUAAUUAGUAUCUUCUCCCUGGCAACAUUGACUAGCAGGUUCCUGGUACAAAGAGGUUCUUGGAGGAGACCCAGCUGGGACCCAAGUUUGGAACACCCAACCUCCUUUGGGCACAUCUCUGCACUGAUUAGCUCCUUGGGCCAGCUGCUUCUGCCCACACUCAUGCAGAGGGAGCCAGAGUUAGGAGGCAGACAGUGCUGAAGAAAUGCUGGAAGAGUAUCAGUUGCUGACUCUUGUCACUAAAGUCAGCUCUCAGGUCUUUAAAUGUAUCGAGGGCGCCUGCCAUGGGAAAGACAUUCACAAAGAGAUUCCCAAGAUAAAUAGUCUCAUCCAGAAAGCCCAUUGCUAAACAGCAUGUACAAUAGGAUUACAUUUCCACUAUUUUCCUUUUACACUUCUCUGUUGCCCAAGUUCAUUUUGGUAAAGUGUAUGCAUUACUUUUGCUUGUAGUAGAAGUGAUGAAGAUUAACAAACACACACUAUGCCGCUGGCAUAUCGGUCAGGAAUAGAGCCUUCCAUUGAAAGAAGUAGUGGAAUACUGUAUCAUCUUUAUAAGGAUUGCUUUUGUAGGAAUUGGGAAAACUGUGUUAUUGAAAUAAUUUUCAAAGUGAUGAACAUAAAAUAAAAUCCAUAAGGUCUGUAAGUGUCCAACUGUCAAUCUCAGCUCAGUUCUUGAUCUUGGGAUCAUGAGUUCAAGCCCUUGGCUGGACUCCACACUGGGCAUGGAACCUACUUAAAAAAAAAAAAAGGAUUCUAGGUAGGAGGAGGAGAAAGAUGGCAGAAGAGUAGGUGACCUAAAUUUCAUGGGGUUCCAGGAAUUCAGCCAGAUAGUUGUCAAACCAUUCUGAACACAUACAAACUCAACAGGAGAUGGA